This 244-nucleotide ribosomal RNA is filed under the name uncultured bacterium. Its description in RNAcentral is "partial 16S ribosomal RNA". It matches the Rfam family "Bacterial small subunit ribosomal RNA", at positions 57 to 305 of the family's 1533-position model. The record is from RNAcentral.
GCAAGUCGAGCGGUAACAGAUCCAGCUUGCUGGAUGCUGACGAGCGGCGGACGGGUGAGUACUGCAUAGGAAUCUACCCGGUAGUGGGGGAUAACCUGGGGAAACCCAGGCUAAUACCGCAUACGUCCUACGGGAGAAAGGGGGCUUUGGCUCCCGCUAUCGGAUGAGCCUAUGCCGGAUUAGCUGGUUGGUGAGGUAACGGCUCACCAAGGCGACGAUCCGUAGCUGGUCUGAGAGGAUGAUC